UGGCAGUGUAUUGUUAGCUGGUUGAGUAUGUGAGCGGCACCAGCUAACAUGCGACUGCUCUC
Molecule: microRNA precursor, 62 nt
Filed under: Mus musculus (house mouse)
Lineage: Eukaryota; Metazoa; Chordata; Mammalia; Rodentia; Muridae
Description: Mmu-Mir-34-P3c_pre stem-loop
Source: RNAcentral